GCGUGCAUAACACAUGCAAGUCGAACGAAUGAAACUUAGCUGAUUUCUUCGGAAUGAAAUUAAGUGGAUUAGUGGCGAACGGGUGAGUAACACGUGAGUAACCUGCCUUACACAAGGGGAUAGCCUUUGGAAACGAAGAAUAAUACCCUAUAAAGUCAAUUUAUCGCAUGAUGAAAUGACCAAAGAUUUAUCGGUGUAAGAUGGACUUGCGUCUGAUUAGCUAGUUGGUGAGAUAAAAGCCCACCAAGGCGACGAUCAGUAGCCGGCUUGAGAGAGUGUACGGCCACAUUGGGACUGAGACACGGCCCAAACUCCUACGGGAGGCAGCAGUGGGGAAUUUUGCACAAUGGGGGAAACCCUGAUGCAGCGACGCCGCGUGAUUUAGAAGGCCUUCGGGUUGUAAAAAUCUUUUUUAUGGGAUGAAAAUGACAGUACCAUAAGAAUAAGGUCCGGCUAAAUACGUGCCAGCAGCCGCGGUAAUACGUAUGGACCGAGCGUUGUCCGGAAUCAUUGGGCGUAAAGGGUACGUAGGCGGCCUAGUAAGUUAGAAGUGAAAUAAUAUAGCUCAACUAUAUAAAGCUUUUAAAACUGUUAGGCUUGAGAGAUGAAAGGGAAAGUGGAAUUCCUAGUGUAGCGGUGAAAUGCGCAGAUAUUAGGAAGAAUACCGGUGGCGAA
RNAcentral lists this ribosomal RNA (675 nucleotides) under uncultured Clostridium sp. RNAcentral's name for it is "bacterial SSU rRNA". It matches the Rfam family "Bacterial small subunit ribosomal RNA", at positions 42 to 719 of the family's 1533-position model. Lineage: Bacteria; Bacillati; Bacillota; Clostridia; Eubacteriales; Clostridiaceae. The record is from RNAcentral.